UUCCAGCACCACAUUUUUCAGGUCUGAUCUCCAGCAUCUGCAGUCCUCACUUUAUCCAGAUUUAAGCAAAGUAUGGCAGAAGCUGAAAAAAAAAUUGAAAUGAGAACAGAGAGUGCUGGAGAAACUCUGCAGCAUCUGUGCACAGAGAAUGCUGCAAGAAAAGAAAACAGGUUAGGCAUAUGGAUUUCAGUGGGCUUGGUUCAUGUUUUCUAAAUGAUUAAAGUAAUUAAAACUGAGUUCAUAGCGUUGCUGCUGCUGCUGUUCACAGAUGUUCAAUUAGUAACAUGUUAAAGGAGUGAAUAAAUGUCUGAUCACAUACUAA
Non-coding RNA from Chiloscyllium plagiosum (whitespotted bambooshark), 322 nucleotides. Lineage: Eukaryota; Metazoa; Chordata; Chondrichthyes; Orectolobiformes; Hemiscylliidae. The record is from RefSeq and is a predicted model, not a curated record.